GACCAACCUGGUUCCCUAUCCAUGCAUCCACUUCCCUCUGGCCAUAUGUUCCCCUGUCAUUUCAGCUGGGAAAGCCUACCAUGAACAGCUUUCUACAGCAGAGAUCACCAGACAAUCAGAUGGCAAAAUGUGCCCCCCGCCAUGGUAAAUACAUGGCUUGUUGCCUGUUGUACCAUGGUGACGUGGUCCCCAAAGACAUCAAUGCUGCCAUUGCCACCGUGAAGACCAAACGCAGCCUCCAAUUUGUGGAUUGGUGUCCCACUGGCUUCAAAGUUGGCGGUAAUUACCAGCUUUCCACUGUGGUGCUUGGUGGAGACCUGGCCAAGGUACGUUGUGCUGUGUGCAUGUUGAGUAACCUCACAGCCACGGCUGAGGCUUUGUUCACUGGUACAUGGGUGAGGGGAUGGAGGAAGGAGAGUUUUCUGAGGCCUAUAAGGACAUGGCUGCCCUAGAGAAAGAUUAUGAGAAGGAUGGUGUGGAUUCUGUUGAAGGAGAGGGGGAGGAAGAAGGAGAGGAAUACGAAUUAGCUGCUCCUUUCAGCCCUGCAGCAUGUCAUACUCCCAGAACUCCAGCUUCAGCAGUAGCUAACAGGCACUGAAAUUUACUGAUUAGAUUAUCUUCACACAAUCAUGAUCAUGUCUGUCUUUUUCCAUGUGUACCUGUAAGAUCUUUCCAUUAUGUCUCAAAGUAAAGGCUUUAAAGAAAAAAAAAAUCAAUUGAUGUCAGGCACGGUGAU
RNAcentral lists this long non-coding RNA (736 nucleotides) under Marmota monax (woodchuck). Lineage: Eukaryota; Metazoa; Chordata; Mammalia; Rodentia; Sciuridae. The record is from RNAcentral.